Non-coding RNA from Vigna angularis (adzuki bean), 89 nucleotides. Lineage: Eukaryota; Viridiplantae; Streptophyta; Magnoliopsida; Fabales; Fabaceae. The record is from Rfam.
CACUGGAGGCAGCGGUUCAUCGAUCUCUUCCUGAGCUUUGUUGUUUAACGUCACAAUCAUGAAUCGAUCGAUAAACCUCUGCAUCCAGU